RNAcentral lists this ribosomal RNA (497 nucleotides) under uncultured bacterium. RNAcentral describes it as "partial 16S ribosomal RNA". It matches the Rfam family "Bacterial small subunit ribosomal RNA", at positions 28 to 507 of the family's 1533-position model. The record is from RNAcentral.
GAUGAACGCUGGCGGCGUGCCUAAUACAUGCAAGUCGAGCGAACGGACGAGAAGCUUGCUUCUCUGAUGUUAGCGGCGGGCGGGUGAGUAACACGUGGAUAACCUACCUAUAAGACUGGGAUAACUUCGGGAAACCGUAGCUAAUACCGGAUAAUAUUUUGAACCGCAUGGUUCAAAAGUGAAAGACGGUCUUGCUGUCACUUAUAGAUGGAUCCGCGCUGCAUUAGCUAGUUGGUAAGGUAACGGCUUACCAAGGCAACGAUGCAUAGCCGACCUGAGAGGGUGAUCGGCCACACUGGAACUGAGACACGGUCCAGACUCCUACGGGAGGCAGCAGUAGGGAAUCUUCCGCAAUGGGCGAAAGCCUGACGGAGCAACGCCGCGUGAGUGAUGAAGGUCUUCUGAUCGUAAAACUCUGUUAUUAGGGAAGAACAUAUGUGUAAGUAACUGUGCACAUCUUGACGGUACCUAAUCAGAAAGCCACGGCUAACUACGUG